GGCUCAGGAUGAACGCUAGCUACAGGCUUAACACAUGCAAGUCGAGGGGAAACGAUAUUGGAAGCUUGCUUCCGAUAGGCGUCGACCGGCGCACGGGUGAGUAACGCGUAUCCAACCUGCCCAUCACUUGGGGAUAACCUUGCGAAAGUAAGACUAAUACCCAAUGACGUCUCUAGAAGACAUCUGAAAGAGAUUAAAGAUUUAUCGGUGAUGGAUGGGGAUGCGUCUGAUUAGCUUGUUGGCGGGGUAACGGCCCACCAAGGCGACGAUCAGUAGGGGUUCUGAGAGGAAGGUCCCCCACAUUGGAACUGAGACACGGUCCAAACUCCUACGGGAGGCAGCAGUGAGGAAUAUUGGUCAAUGGACGAGAGUCUGAACCAGCCAAGUAGCGUGCAGGAAGACGGCCCUAUGGGUUGUAAACUGCUUUUAUAAGGGAAUAAAGUGAGUCUCGUGAGACUUUUUGCAUGUACCUUAUGAAUAAGGACCGGCUAAUUCCGUG
RNAcentral lists this ribosomal RNA (499 nucleotides) under uncultured bacterium. RNAcentral's name for it is "bacterial SSU rRNA". It matches the Rfam family "Bacterial small subunit ribosomal RNA", at positions 21 to 507 of the family's 1533-position model. The record is from RNAcentral.